Molecule: transfer RNA, 73 nt
Filed under: Mycoplasmopsis felis
Lineage: Bacteria; Bacillati; Mycoplasmatota; Mycoplasmoidales; Metamycoplasmataceae
Description: tRNA-OTHER
Rfam family: tRNA
About the family: Transfer RNA (tRNA) molecules are approximately 80 nucleotides in length. Their secondary structure includes four short double-helical elements and three loops (D, anti-codon, and T loops).
Source: RNAcentral
GGAAGAUUAGCUCAGCUGGGAGAGCGUUGCCGCCAAGCAAAUGUCACGGGUUCGAGUCCCUUAUCUUCCACCA